RNAcentral lists this signal recognition particle RNA (258 nucleotides) under Erythranthe guttata (spotted monkey flower). RNAcentral describes it as "Mimulus guttatus (spotted monkey flower) Plant signal recognition particle RNA". It matches the Rfam family "Plant signal recognition particle RNA". Lineage: Eukaryota; Viridiplantae; Streptophyta; Magnoliopsida; Lamiales; Phrymaceae. The record is from Rfam by way of RNAcentral.
GCCGAGCUCAGUAACGUGGGCUUAUAACCCAAGUGGGGCAAUAAUGUGAUUGGACAUGUGGCUUGACCGUCUAGUUGGAUAGGUAGUUGCAAUAAAUUGGCCCGUCCGUUCCAAGUGGUGAGUUGGUUCACAUGGCUCGGGUUAAGGCUUGAGUUGCGUGGUUCGUAGAGUGGAGGGCAAUGCGCCAAGGAUAACGGGCCGAUGCUUCUUCGGCCCAUUUAAGCUAAACGGGCUAGCCUCUAUUGGACAAUCAUUUUU